This 1577-nucleotide unclassified non-coding RNA is filed under the name Centruroides sculpturatus (bark scorpion). RNAcentral describes it as "uncharacterized LOC111626125, transcript variant X2". Lineage: Eukaryota; Metazoa; Arthropoda; Arachnida; Scorpiones; Buthidae. The record is from RNAcentral.
GAAUGCUACAAUUUAUUAAUUAAUUCUUUUAAACAAAACAUCACAGUUUCAGACUUGGCUUUACGUAAACUCUGCUUAUUUGAUAGUACGAAGACAGUUCAUAAAUAAUUUAUUUAAAAAUUAAAUUAAACAGAUAUCCACACGGAUACAAAUUUAUCUUCACAGCUUUUUACUAUUAUCAUUUAUUCUAUACUUUCUAAAUUAAAACUUUUUCUAUUUUGCUAGUCUAGUGGUUUUUGUGGUACUAGGAUGUACCAUUCAAAAACCACUAGACUAGUCAACAAAAGCAUUUUUUGUUCAUAAAGUUAAUAUAUUAUGCAUCCUUUACUGGUUUUAAGUUACUUUCAUGUAGUAUAAAUGCAGCAUGUUUAGCCAUUAUUGAUUCAGGAAUCCCCAUGAAGCAUACUAUAGCUGCUGUAGACGCUGUUUUAUUAGAAGAUGGAAAAAUAGUUGUAAAUCCUACGUCGAAAGAGGAAAAAUUGGCCAAAGCACAGUUCACCUUAGCUUUCGAGACAGUCAAGUUUCGGUUAGUCACGAUGAACACUUGCGGUCGCUUCACUCUGAAAGAAUUCGAAAACUGCGUGGAAGCGUGCCGUUCCGCAGCCGGUAAAGUAGUUGACUUCUAUCGUUCUCUGAUCUCUAGGAGAUUCAGCAAACAGAAAACAUCAGACAUGCAACACGAAGUGGAUCGGGUAUCCGAGACCUUUCACAAAAACUUCAACGUUAACAAAGAGGAAUCCGAGGAUUCGGACUGAACACAGUUAAAUCCCCUUCUGUACAUACUUUCAUAAUAAAUUUUAUGGCUAUUACUUAAAUUAGUCUCGUUUUUGCGACUUGGUCUGGUAAGAAAAUUGAUUCCUUUCUUAAGCAAGAGGUGGCACAAACUGAAAAAGUUUUUCUUGGCGAGGAUAUUCAGUUGUCGAAACUCGUAUAUCACUAGAUUAGUUCCGGUGUCAGUUCGGAUGAUAUGUCCCGGCUGCAUUCGACAUAUUAAUUACCUUCUGUAUCAAAGUGUCGAGUGCCAUCAAACCGGUACUCCCUUCGAUAUAUUUUAAUAUGGACCUAGCGAUUGUCGGCUGUCCGGCCAUCACCAUUUACCUCGGAAAGGUUAGAAAAAUGCAAGUUGUAAACCUUAGGAAAAUCGAUAAUGAUCUAUCGAUUGUAAUUGUGGGAUACUCUACGAAUGGGGGUUAAGUUGCUCCGACUGCAACUGGGCUCGGAAUGAAGAUUGUAAAGUUGUUUCUUCGUAGACAGGACCACCGACGUACGCGCUUGACAGGAAGUGGAACGUGUAACAGAUACGAUAACUUUUUUCAAGAAGGGUAACAAAGAUCUCCAUCGUUAGAGCAACGGUUGACAGGAAGCAGUUUUGCAUCCGACUAUCUGCAGACGUACUGUACGUAUGAAUAUUUAACACCGUAACUCGAUACAUCAGAUUUCGAAUGGCGUGCUUAUCUGGCGUAAAAUCCCAUUUAUUACGUUGUGUAAUAAUUAUGAAUUACUUUAAUUACCGUUAACGGGAUCCAAAAAAUUAAGAUAUCAAAAAAAUGCCAUUAGUGAUUGCCGAAGCCGACAGA